AGAAUUUAUCACUUAUACAAUCUUUUUGGACUUCCAUCAGCACCUCUGAUGAUCCACCGUUUUAACCACUUCUUAUGCAUUUCUUAACUUUAUAUUGCCUUUACAUCUCUUAACAAAUCAUCCUCCCCCUUAUCCAUUUUUACAAUACUUCUAAUAAUACUCCUCACAAAACUUCUUGCAACCCUACAAACGUCGUCUGUUCUUCACAAUUACCUUUCAAAUAGUCCGUAAAUUUACUCCAGUCUUCCGUGAAUUUCUGGUCUCGCCGGUUUCGAAUCCUUCCUGUUAAUCUAAUUAGCCCUUUUAAAAGGGUCCUUGGAGGUUUUUAAGCAGAGGUUGGAUGGCCAUCUGUCAUGGAUGAUCUAGUUGAGAUUCCUGCAUUGCAGGGGUUUGGACUAGAUGACCAUCAGUGUACCUUCCAACUCUACAAUUCUAUAAUAUUUCCUCCCUAACAAAUUGUAAGCACUUUAUUUUAUUUGGGAAUGAAGCUGUGAGCAAACCUGUUCUAUCACCAUGAUUAAAUUUUGGUACCACCACUAGAGACCAGAUAAAAUAUCUCUAGGGAUGGAUUUGGUCUGCAGGCUGUCAGUUGACUAUUCUUGGUCUAUGGAGCUUCCUCCACCUCUAUCCUUUCCUCUACUGUUCAUCUGGUAGAAAGGAUUCAUGGUUUAAAUCAAGAAGAAAAAAACCAAAUCCCUAGCUCAACCGGAGCAUGAUUUAGCCAUCUCAGCACCACAUCUUUAAACACAGAAUGAAGAACAUUGUUUACCUCUACAUGUGGUCUUCUGGCAAUGGGAGUACUGAUCCUUUCUACCAGAGCAUCUCCACCUUGAAAAAUUUGCCUACAGCAUCACCACAUCUCCCAAAGUAAGCCUUCACCAUUAAAACCAUUAAAGCCAUUAAAACAUUAGAUGGUCACUGUAAUUAGAACUUCAUUCCUAAGUGGGAAAGUGUAUUGUGAGAAGGAAAAGGGGAAGUCGGUGCAAUCUCUUUAUUUCUUCUUCUUUCUUCUUCUUUCUUCUUAUUUUUGUUCUGUUUAUGAAUUAAAUUAUCUUGAAGAGAUUUCACAGUAAAAACAUCGGCAGUGAAAACCAAUGGGCCCUUUCAUGUAUGAAACCAACUAAAGGAAGUUUCAUGUGCAAAAAUAAUUUCAGGUCCAAUGCAGAUACUGGCUGGGCUAAAUAUCUCCACUUAAAAGGCUUGUUGAAGAAGAAAGGGCCUCCUUAGGCCCUGAAGGACAAUGGAGACUGCCCCUGUCUGAUAUGCAACAAGAGGGACUAGGGCCAACUCAUGACAUUUUGGCAUCUGAGGUGAAGGACACAAUGGUGAUUCUCCCCCACCAAGGAAGGUGUGUGAAGAAACUUCAUCAGGAGCAAGGGUAUGGAAUAAAGAUCUACACCAGGAACAGGAGAGGAGACCAGAAGCAUCUGUUGUUCACCAAGAGGCCACUGUAGCAGUGGCAUAGCAAGGUGGCUAAUGAGGAGGCAGCAGACCCGCCUCCAAGGAGCAUGUUGCAGCUGCCACUGUGGCAGCCGCAGCAGUGGGUGAUGCAUUCCUUGGAUGCCUGAUCUGCUGCCCCUGUGAAUCCUGCUGCCUGAGGCGGUUGCCUCACCUUGUUGCCUCAUGGGUAGGCCGGACCUGGGAGGAAGUUCCAAAAGGUAGGUGCCACCAUGCUAGAGGCCUGAUUCCUGUAUCAUAUGCAAUGGACCUCCUGAUGAGAUCCUUCCCCUAUAAAUCACAGGGAACAAUUUGGAAUAUAUGAGGAGUGAGAUGAUCUUUUAGAAACAAUCAUUCGCACAGAGAAGAGUCGAAACGGGAUAACAUAGCCAUAGGUUCAAAUACUGGCGGAAAAUGUAAGAAUCCAUUUCUAAUAACCCUUUUGGAUGAAAGGGAUUAAGCUUACGCUUGUUAUGCACUGUUUGUGCUCAUUGUUUCUCAGAACAGGAUUAACUUUGAUCAUUUUCUAUUGCCACUCGAGCAUCUGCUACGAAAUAGGCUGGCACGCUGAAAGUUUUGUCGCAGGACCCAAGUGCACUGUUACCUCAUACACAGAAUGUCAGUGGAAACUGGAUUUGUUCAACUCGAAGGCCGUCACCAAACAUUGCCUGGGAGACUCCAGUCAAACCUGUAAAAUCUUCUGCAGCCAAAACAUCUGCAGGGAUUUUAAAGGCAGCAAAAAUGAUUCUGAUAAGAUAGCAAACUCUGUCCUCAUUCAGGCAUCAUGCUUGAGCAAGAAAUAGCAGUCUGGAUUUGGGGUAUUGAGCCAAGCAUGCUGGUCAGCCCCAGAUCUUCCCAGGUUGAGCAGGAGAUGUCUGAAUGAGGCUUUUACCUGGAUUUACUUGACUGAGUGUAGACACCUCUGCACAUAGGAGCCCUGUAUUAUCAUAGCUUGAAGACUUCAAUUAAGUGAAGACUUCACUUUAGCUAAGCGAAAACAGUUUGGAACCUUCAACACACUUUCCCUGCUAUAAACACAGGGAGGUCUGUAAUAGAGUGGGGAGGCACACAUAUUCCCACCACAUAACACUGAAACGUGACUGGUACUUUGUUAUGGUGCGUUAGAAGCUUUUAAUGUUUUGUUGCAUUCUUUUAUAUUCUGUUGGAAGCCACCCAGAGUGGCCGGGGCAACCCAGUCAGAUGGGUGGGGCACCAGAAAUUGUUGUUGUUGUUCUAUCAUCAUCAUCACCAUCUUUAUUAUUCCAGGUUAACCCUGUGUCUGUCGACAAUUGUGUAGGAACACGUCCCACCAGUCUUCUUGCAAUACGCAGAUAUCCAUGAAUACACACCUUAGUAGUAACAGGCAUAUAAUACGCACCUGGCCUCGCUUCUCUCUCUGCUUAGCAAAUCCAGCAAUCAUACAAAGUUUUAUUUGGAAAGGGUAAAAAUGAUAUCACAGAAGGACACAGUCGCAACCUCCAUUUAUCUCCAGUUGUCAGAUAUUUUACUGCAAAUAAGUUUACUGUGCAGGUGUUCUUUCCUUUCAUGGGUUUUCAUGGGAGAGACAUCACUAGUGCUGUCAAAAUUCAUGAAGCCAGGGAGCUCCAUGGGAAAGCGUUCCCAUUUGCAUGGAGAAGAGAGACAGGCAGAGAUGAAAUACUGCAAAAUCUUUUACUGCACCUGCAUAAAUAGGGGCAUGCUAUGCCCUCCAGAAGUUCAAAUCCUGGAUGAGGCACGUUAAAAUAACAUAAUGAUGUAGUUGAGAGCAUGCUUGGAGCAGUUUCUAAUAACUACAGAUGUUUCACACCUAAGGGUGUGAGGGAACCAUAGAGCUUGAUAAUCAAACCACACAAUGUCAAAUUCACUUAUUUGGGGCACUGUUGUCCCCCUCCGUUCAGGUCCCACAGUUUUUUUUUUUCCUUUUUAUAAAAAAAAGCACCUUAAAAGGUUGUAGAAGUCAUAUAUGUCCUGGGAGAGUGGAAGCCUGCAAAGGAUCACUGAAGGCUUUGUAUCGUUUGUAGCAGCUUAACUGCUGAAAUAUUGUAGAGCAAAUACACUGCACAGUGUAAGCUCUGUCGACACAAAUCUUUCUUUUGGGAAUGAUUGGCCAAGAAAAAAAAUGUCUUAGAGAUGCUUCUUGGUUGGAUUGGUCUCCUUCAUGUCUGCACUGAACAACAGGCUUGUGUGUGAGGUGUGUGAGAGAGAGUUCUUACCAGUACAGCUCUUUAUGUGGGCACCCAUAACACUUUGAUCAAUAUAUGAGUACAGGCAACUCAUUUUUUAGGACACCUCUACCCAAUCCCACCUUACAUGUGUGUGUGUCUCUGUGUGUAAUUUUCUAGUUCAUUGGUCAAUAUUUAUCUGUGGUUCAUUGCUUUGGAUCUAUAAGACAGUCACAUGUUUUUCAGUUUUCUUUGCCUGGUCUGAGUUAGAACAGACCCUCCAAGUCUCCCUAUUUUCCAGGGACAUCCCUGAUUUAGAGAAGUCAUCCCGGGUUCUGAUUUGAUCCUGAAAUGUCCCACUUUUUCCUUAGGAGGUCCCUAUUUUCAUCGGAGAGCUGCUGGAUGAUGUGGUAGGAUGUCCCUAUUUUCAUUAGAGAUAUGUUGGAGGGUAUGGAGUUAUCUGACCCCCCAAGCUGUCUGAAGGCAAUCUUGCAUAGGGAAGGUGUUUUAAUUUUUUUUUAAUGUUUUGUUAUGUUUUUAUAUUUGUUGGAAGCUGCCCAGAGUGCUGGGACAACCCAAUAAGAUGUGUGGGUGUAAAUAGUAAAAUUAUCAUUAUGGAAUGGGACUUCCCUAUUUUCAUUGGAGAAAUGUUGGAGGGUAUGGUACAGCAGCAGUGACACUGGCAGGUGGCACAGUGGCGGUGAGUGUCCCACGCGUGGUGGUGGUAUGGUGGUGUGGCAGAGCAGAGUGGCACUUCCUGUUUUGCCUCAAGUGGCAAAAUGGGACGUACCACCCCUGAUCUCAGGAUUCCAGAACUUACAGCUAUCAGUUCUGAGUGAAGGCAAGCAAUGACCCACAGCCCAGGUGGGGCUCGCUAGCUUGGGGAGGAGAUGUGUGAUUCCUCAGCUGGAGAAGGUUCAGGUGAGGCUCACGUUCUUUGCCAAGCCCAGAAGCUACAACAGGCCUGUGUCCUGGCCACACACACAUGGCUUCUGUUUUGUGCAAAGCUGGUAGACUGAGAAACACUAAAGGUGUGUGCUUACAGGGAAACAGAUACCAGUGUCCAUGGGCCAUCCCACCCAUGAAUUUUUCUCUGAGAAAAAUAAAUGGCUCGCGUAAAUAUAAACUAAGCUUUAAUAAUAAUGAAAACUGUAACAGAAUAACAUAAUGAGAGAAACUACAUGCAGCAACAGGAGGCAAGAAACAAGAAGACACAGUUGGUCCCUCUUAACGGACAUUCUUAACUGAACAGAACUGAACACACAUGGAAGGGAGGGGCUGAUUCUGGAACAAAGCACACAAGCCCCACCCACCAGAUACCAAGCACUCUACUAGAGUGGUACCUUGGUUCUCAAAUGCCUUGAUACUGAAACGCCUUGCUUUUCAAAUUGCCGAAAACCCAAAAGUAAGUGUUCUGGUUUUCGAAUGUUUUUCAGAAGCCAAAAGUCCAAUACGGUUGUCAGCUAUUGUUUCUGGGGUGCCUGCACCAAUCAGAAGCUGCGCCUUGGUUUUUGAACAUUUCGGAAGUCAAACGGACUUCCAGAAUGGAUUAAGUCUGGCACUUCUGUUUUUGCUAUUGGUUUAGUGUUUUUGUUUUUGAGGCUUUUUCAGUUAAUUUGUUUUUGUGACUGUGUGGAACCCAGUUCAGCUACUAAUUGAUUGAUUGUGUGACUACGGAAAUGGAUAAAAGCCCCCCAUCCAAACAAUGACUGUUAUCGGUGCAGGAAAGGAAAAAAAAGUAAUUUUAAUUUUUAUCAUCUACAAUACUGUCUUACUUAUUUUAUACAGUACGGUACAUUGCUUAUUGCUUUCAUUUUAUGGAUCAAUGGUCUCGUUAGAUAGUAAAAUUCAGGUUAAAUUGCUGUUUUAGGGGUUAUUUUUAAAAGUCUGGAAUGGAUUAAUCCGUUUUGCAUGACUUUCUAUGGGAAAGCGCGCCUUGGUUUUGGAACGCUUUGGUUUUGGAACGGACUUCCGGAAUGGAUUAAGUUUGAGAACCAAGGUACCACUGUAUUCAAAUUAGGCCUCAGUGGCAAUCCUUUAUAGGGAAGUUCUUUUUAAUGUUUAAUGUUUUAUUAUGUGGCUGUGACAACCCAGUAAGAUAUGUGGGGUAUAAAAAGUAAAAUUAUCAAUAUGGAAUGGGACGUCCCUAUUUUCUUUGGAAAAAUGCUGGAGGGUAUGUAAGGAUUGUCAAUUGGUCAACAUUUCACUGGCCUUUUCCAGCAAGGUUGCAUUGUUGUUAGCCGCCCUGAGCCCGGCUUCGGCUGGGGAGGGCGGGAUAUAAAUAAAAAUUAUUAUUAUUAUUAUUAUUAUUAUUAUUAUUAUUAUUAUUAUUCUGUCAAGUGAAAGUGAGUAAACAUCAAAUCCCACUACACUGUGUGCUAGACAAACAAGAUUCUGCCAGAUUUUAUUUGUUUGUUUGUUUUAUUUAACAGGAUUUAUAUACUACUUAAUCAUUAAAAAAUCUCUAACUGGUUACUAUCAAUUCAACAUUGUGUUGUAGCCAGUGAAGUCAUCCCAUCACUUUAAUGAAUUUUGCCUGCGCAAUGAGACUUUCUCUCCCUCUGUGUCCUCAAAUCUGUUCUGAAUAAAAUAUGGGGUUUAUCUGCCCCCCCCAUUUGAUCACAGGACAUGGUGCACAUACAUCAUUUGAAUGGCAAUGUCCUAGGAUCUGGUAACAGGAAAAGGAGCAGGACUGAAAUGAAGGGUGAACUAUUAUGCCACAGAAAGUGUGGGAGCUACUGCUCUGAGUAGGAGAGAUCUUGCGUGAAAGCUGACAUUCUAAAAUAAACCCCCUUCCUGCAAAACAUUCUCACUGAAGUUGACUACAGUGGUAUUCUUUAUACAUUAACUUUGGCUCCAUUUCAGAGUAAAAUUCAUGAGCAAGAGUAACCAAUUAUUAAGGAAUAGGAAGACAAAGGAAUGCGCUUCUGCAUUGUGCUGGGACUUAGUAAGAGUUGAACACACAUUAUUCACUGGAUAAAUAUGUGGAAGAAAGGAAGAGAGUAUUUAUCUCUGUUUUAAUUACUGUUAAUCUGCCGAGACUUUCCCAUUAGAAAUAUCACACUGGCAUUUUCUUGGGUACCAGCUGCAAGCCAAGCUCUUUAACAUUUAAUUUUGAUGCACUUACUCAUCCAGUUCCCUGCUUUCCUUCAUCUGUUCACUAUGCACCCAUGCUUUUGAGAAGAUCUUUCUGAUGAGACACUCCCCCAAAAUUUCAGUUAGUUUCCCCUUUGUUCUCUUUUGCCCCCUGCCUCAAUCCCUAGGUCUCUCUCUCUCUCUCUGAAUAUCUCUCAGUGAAUAUUUCUCUUUGAAGCACAUCAUGUUUCAGCCAGGGAUAAUGGCCUUUGGUAUUCUGCUAGAAUCACAUUAAAAACCACUGUGUUCCACUGGCUGAGGAAGUUACAGUGCUGCUCUCUUCCACCUGAUGAUAAUCUGGGGCUGUACUGUGUACUAAACAAUCACUAUUCAUUGGGGUUUGUUAGACAUUUCAUUCCACAGCAAAAGGAAAAGGGAACUUUUGUCAAUAAUUAAGUUUCAACAUUGGCAGAGUGGGAUUCUUCAGGUGCCCACAUCUCAGGGGGGGAGGAGGGGGCCUAAUGAAAGAGGCUUGUUCUUUCCAUGCUAUGUUUUGAGAAGGGAAUUAGCUCUCCAGACACUCCCACAAGGCUAAUUUUUAACACAGGAAGCAUCCUUCAGUAGAAGUCAAAUCUCCCUAGGAUCCAGCACUGAAAACAUUAUCAUUUCAAAAUUCUCUUUACAAGUUCUUUGUCUUCAGCUUCAUUAUUGUCUUGUUCCUGUACUUGACAGAAUUCUCAUAGGCCUUGCAUUAUUACAGAGAAACAUGAUGGCAAGAAAGUCCUUUGCUCCUUCUGUUACCUUGAAGAGAAGGCUGUUCCAAGGGAACAGGGGCAGUUUCCUAACAUAGAAAUAUUACAGGGGCAGUUUCCUAACAAAGGAAUAUCUCCAGUGUUCAGGAUGUGUGUGGUUUAUAUAUGUAGGCAGAAGGACACACAUUCUUGUGCAUGAGGGAGCUAUCCGGAGGUCUGAUGGAACCACAAGUUUUGCAAAGGAACAAUAAAACUUGGGGGGGAGGAACUAAAGGGGGAUGGUAUACCAAAAAAGUUAAAAAUGUUUAAACACAGCUAAUUUACAACCAGGGACUGUUAGGCUGUGUGCAUAUUAUACAUUUAAUUCGUUCCCUCAAAGAAUUAUGGGCACUGCAGUUUGUUAAGGCUUGCUGGGAAUUACAACUGUGGGGGCUAAAGUACAGAGCCCAGAAUUCCUUGAGUAAAAGAAUGUGCUUUGAAGGUGCUUUAAAGGUUUAAUGUAUAAGCAGCCUUAGCUGGAAAUAGCUCAUACCCGUUAGGUCUUGUGUUCUUCAUUUGUGUUCUCCAAAAGCUAGAAAAAUACAGUGGUGCCCCGCAAGACGAAUGCCUCGCAAGACGGAAAAACCGCUAGACGAAAGGGUUUUCCGUUUUGAAGUUGCUUCGCAGGACGAAUUCCCCUAUCUUGCUUCGCAAGACGAAAAUGUCUUGCGAGUCUUGAGAUUUAUUUUUCGCUUUUCCCCCCCUUUAUCUAAUCUGCUAAGCCUUUAAUAGCCUUUAAUAGCCUUUUAGCAGCUAAUCCCCUAAGCCUUUAAGCCUUUAAUAGCCGCUAAACAGCUGAUAGCGCUAAUAGCGCUAAUCCGUCAAUGGGCUUGCUUCGCAAGACGAAAAAACCGCUAGACGAAGACUCUUGCGGAACGGAUUAAUUUCGUCUUGCGAGGCACCACUGUAUAAGAUUUGGUAACGGGUUUGUCAUGGCCUCCCAAACCUGAUAACUUGCACUGCCUCCAAGGGAAGUCCAGAUGAGGAAAAGAUUCACACUGCUCCACCCAGUGGAUAGACUUUCAGCAUCUCACACUUUUCAAGCCUGAGGACAUGGAAAUUCUGCCUUCCUCAGACUCAGAGCCCUCAGUAGCAUCUCCUGCUUCUCUGUAGUUGCAGAACCAAAAAUAAACCCUUUUAAAAGAACAGAUAGUUCCUCUAGGGCAGGCAUCCCCAAACUCAGCCCUCCAGAUGUUUUGAGACUACAAUUCCCAUCAUCCCUGACCACUGGUCCUUCUAGCUAGGGAUCAUGGGAGUUGUAGGCCAAAAACAUCUGGAGGGCUGAGUUUGAGGAAGCCUACUCUAGGGAGACAGUGCCAGCAGCAUAACAGGUUGUAGCUUUAUGAUGCUUCAAUGCUUAGCUGAAGCCACAUUCCCAUGUUGUCUACAGUAGAGGGAGAGCUACAAGCAGCAGAGCUCACUGCAGAAAAAACCCAAACAAGAAUCCAAACAAGGGAGGCUAUUCCAUAACCACGGUGCCAACACUGAAAAGACCCUUUCUUUGGUAGCCACCCACCUUAAAGUGCUUCUAAAUCUGACUUUGUGGGAGAUUAGCAGUCCAACCCAACUAAUGUAUAUUAUUGCUAGUUAGCAUGAGAAAGGGCUAAGUCCACAGAACUGUAUUGCUGAUAGGCAGGUACUCAGACCAUAGAAAUACAACUGGUAGAGUGGUCUCUGUGUGAUGUCAUUUCCCCUCCUUUCCUAGAGAAGAAGGAGCAUAUAGUACUUCCUGUUCCUCUCUUUCUUCCAGUGAUCAGCCAUGAGGGCAGACGAGCCUUGUGCUUGUUCCAGCUUUAGGCACAUACUGUAAAUAUGAGUAUUUUGCCUGCAUAGUUUUGACUAAUGCCAUCGCUGUGAACCAGUGCAAGAAUAUAAGUAAAUCAAACUUACCGUAUUUUUCGCUCCGUAAGACGCACCAGACCAUAAGACGCACCUAGUUUUUGGAGGAGGAAAACAAGAAAAAAAAAUUUCUGAAUCCCAAAAGCCAUAACAGCAAGAGGGAUCGCUGCGCAGUGAAAGCAGCAAUCCCUCUUACUGUUCUGUCUGGGAUAGCUGCGCAGCCUGCAUUCACUCCAUAAGACGCACACACAUUUCCCCUUACUUUUUAGGAGGGAAAAGGUGAGUCUUAUAGAGCAAAAAAUACGGUAAUCUUUAAACUUACUUUUCAGAUUGUUACCUGAUUCUUUGUUAAGUGGGAUAAGGAAGGGGAGCCAGCUUAAUCCAUAGCUGAACUUGUUCAAAACAAGGUUUUAUAGCCUAAUUCCUAUACUUUUAAUUUUGCUCCCAAGGAUGGGAUUUUGAACCUCUUUUCAACUCACACAGGUGGGCACUUGGAGGGAUAAAUUGCAAUUAAUAUAUCCUCUCUUACUCAUUAAAAACCCACCCCACAAACUUGACCUGAUGUAAACCUGCUUACUGAGAUUUGACCUUAUAUGAACCUGACCUGACGUGACCUUAUUUAAGGCUGCUACCACUUCCCCCGCGAACCCUGAGCCCCAGAAUAACAGGUUGCUGCCACAUUUGAGGUGUGGAAAAACUGGGAACUUUGCCCAUCUGCACCCAUCAAGCAGUUGGAUUUUCCACUUACAACUGCCAGAGAUUCCUUUUGCAAGUAGCAUCAGUAUGUGGAGCAGAUGUCCCUUUCUCAGCCCCAUUGGAGUGAAAUUAUCUAGAGAAAACAAUAAAUAAUUUCCAGUGACUUGACCUUAUGCAGCCUUCCUAUUCAAAUGGCAAAAUAAGAAAUGUACAAAUCAUCACAGGCAAUGGAUGGGGAGAUAGAGUGAGAUCCAUAAAGCACAAGAAAUCCCUGGAAAGUCGGCUUGGCAUCUACUCCAUUGUGUGAUGUAUGCAGUUUUGUCAAUGAAGGGUAACAAGCCAGUUCCAUAGGUAUUAGGGAAGUAUGUUAGGAUAUCAGUGCUAUAAAUUUUAAGACUGUGACAUGGGCAGUGUGUUUUAGGCUGGCUGUAAUUACUUUGUGCGUAAGAGAGAAACAUGGUGGAAGAAAUCAGAAUGCGAGAACGCCAUCCGGUGGUGUCAGAAAAAGGAAAGGAGGGGUAAGUUGUAAACAAUAGGCUGUCAUAGUGAGUAAAAUGGAAUUUCUGUCUUUAAAAAUAAAAUAAAAACCAGAGCAAAAUUUCAGAAAGCUUAUAAAUCACAGCUUUACCCCGCAUUAUUUUCAAACAAGCAAUUCAAAAUCUCUGCAGUUGGCCUUCUGGGGACUUCUUAAAUCACUAAGCCCUUAUCAGCACCAGGUAGAAUAAAAGUCUCUUUCAGCACAUUUAUCCUGCCGUUUCAUUUGAAUCCAGCAAAGCCACGGAGGCGGUGAGACAUCCUGUUCUGGACAAUGUUACAUUACCUUGGAAGGAGCAGGUCCACAGCUUUCGGGGUGCGGCUUUUUAGUGUUGCCAUAUUGCCAAAAGUGAAAAUCCAGACAGAGUUGUUGAUUUUUUUUGGGGGGGGCAAAGUUGUUGAGCUCCCCAAAAACAUUCAUUUUGGGUCUUAUAUUUUUAAAGAAUUGUAAAAAUAAAAAUAGCCCAACUUACCAUACAUCCAGGUUUCCCUGGACAUUUUAUCAAUUCAGCAAAAAUCUGCCCAGACGCCAUUUUCCUGAACGAAUAAUGUCCCGGAAAACCCAGACGUGUGGCAGCCUUAGGGGGGCUGCUGGAUUCAACACUGUCGCUGGAGGCUCUGGUGGCCUUGGUGACUAGGAAUCCUCUGGCUGUUUUUGGAGAGAAAUGACUUGGCCUCUGUACUCCAUGCUCAGGCAACUUCCAGAUUGAAUGGUUGUGUACCGAAUUUCCUUUAUGAGUGAGGCCAGAAGGUGAACUACAGAACUGGAAAACAACAAAAAGGUGCAUGUUGAGGGAGCGAAUAGUGCAAUUAUGUAGUUUAGUCAUGAGGUGGCACUGGAUUUAGCUGUAUCCAGGUGGAGGCGGGAUGCAGGUGGUGCUGUGGGUUAAACCACAGAGCCUAGGACUUGCCGAUCAGAAGGUCGGCGGUUCGAAUCCCCGUGACGUGGUGAGCUCCCGUUGCUCGGUCCCUGCUCCUGCUAACCUAGCAGUUCGAAAGCGCGUCAAAGUGCAAGUAGAUAAAUAGGUACCGCUCCGGCGGGAAGGUAAACGGCUUUUCCGUGCGCUGCUCUGGUUCGCCAGAAGCGGCUUAGUCAUGCUGACCUCAUGACCCGGAAGCUGUAUGCUGUCUCCCUCGGCCAAUAAAGUGAGAUGAGCGCCGCAACCCCAGAGUCGGUCAUGACUGGACCUAAUGGUCAGGGGUCCCUUUACCUUUACCUUUACCUUUAGGUGGAGGCAAACAUUUUCUGCGCUGUUCAAGACAAUAAAGUUCUUGUCUAGUUUUCUAACUGAUGCGUCCUCUAUGCCUUCUGUGAUGGCGAAAACACUCAAGUAGUGCACGGACCAGGAAAUCCAGCCAUUUACUACCUUCCUGCACAACUUUUUGCUCUUUCCUACCUCUGCUCCAUCAAAAAGUCAGUACAUCCUUUAAUCUUGACACAUGAGAAUACUCAUGCACCGGGGCAAAUACUCCUGGACUCAGACAGAAAAUGCAUUAUUUUUUAAAAAAGACAAAUGUUUCUUUAACACCUCACAAAUUCCUUACCCAUUGAUAGCUGACAGCUUUCUUUGCUAGCUGCCCUGCUGAGUUGGGUUUUCUACCAUUUCUACUAUGGUUUGUAUGCUUUUAUUUGGUGCUGUUCCUCAAUAACAGCUCCCAAAUGUGCCUAUAACCUUGUUUUCAGAAGUCUGGUUUUGAUGCCAUUGAAUCUACUGUGGCAAUGCAGCAAUUAAGUGGGAUUAAGUGAUACAUGAAACGAAGGAUACUCCUGUGUGGGUUAGCAUUUGGGGACAAAGUAUAAAAAGCAAGUCAUCUGGAUGACUUAUUCAUAACGUGGCCAUAUUUAGAACAAGGUCAAACUGGCAUCAGCGCCUUGAGUUUAAAAUAAUCCCUCCCCCUGUCCUCCAUCUGAUCAAAAUGUCAUCUUCAUUAGCAGACAUGGGUACCAUUUAGGAAGAGCACUCUGUAGGUCUCAGGCUUACUCACUGGUUUUAUAUUACAACUCCAAGGGAUUAUUUUCAGAAUUGUAGGAACAUAGGUGCUAGGUAUGAUGCUACAGAUACACUUAACUUUGCUUUUUAAAAAAGAUAAAAUAUUGCUGUUUCUCUCCCUCCCCCCCUUCUCACUCUGGUGCAAGAGUAGUCAUAUUUUCUAUCCAUCAUUCAAAGGGGGGCAGGGUGUUAUCUUUCCAAUGAAUCAAUAUCAGUCUUUUAAGUCAGAGCCUGAAGAGUACAUUUAUGCUGACCUGCUGUCAAACCACCUGUGGUUUGGAUAAUAUUAUCAUCUGACAAUUUAACAUUUCCCCCCAAAGUAGUAUUUCUGCAUCAGGCAUAGGCAAACUCGGCCCUCCAGAUGUUUUGGAACUACAAUUCCCAUCAUCCCCGGCCACUGGUCCUGUUAGCUAGGGAUCAUGGGAGUUGUAGUCCCAGCACAUCUGGAGGGCUGAGUUUGCCUAUGCCUGAUCUACAUCUUAGUAUUUUCCUCCAAAUAUUUGUAAGCAUCAGACACUGAAUCAGCCUAUGUUUCAAAGAAGCAUUUUCCUUAUUACAUCUCCAGCAGCAUGUUGUCAUGGAACAUCACCUCACAGGGUUGUUGUGACAAAUAGACCGGAUAUGGCAUAAGGUUUCAUGGGGCCGGCAUGUGAGACACAUGCUUGAGCAAGGUUCAAAUACCACCUUGGCCAUGCCUCACUAAACUACAAUUUUCAGAGUAGUUUAUCCAUCGAUCCUUCUUCUCAGGGAGCUCUCGGGAUUUAUAGCUCUGUGAGCGGGGUGGGGAAGGGUCUCCCGACAACUGUGAGCAUUCUUAACAAACUACCGUUUCCCAAGAUAGUUUUGGGAGAAGGAGUGACAGUUUAAAGUGAUAAGGUUCUGCUUUAAAUGUGUGUGUAGUUCAGAUGGUGAAUUAGUUGCCUAAUGAGAUUAAAUGAAGGCAGGUGAAAUGGAUGCAUGGUAUUGUUUUAUAAUAAUAAAAAGCAGAGGUGCAAUUUCAGGCUAGAUACUAGAAAUAUACUAGACUCUAUAUUUCUUUCAUCUCACGUGCACAGAAACAAACACGAAGAUCCAUGGAAACAGAACAAUCAGUAAAGAUUUCAUGAAGGUGUCAGAAAAGAAGAUUCAGCCGGGUGGCUCGGAAACAGACUGUGAAGUGAAUAAAUUCACGCAGGAAAGGGAAAGGGAAAGGAUCAUCUUUGCUAUAGUCUAUGAUUAUGUGCUGCCAAGACAUUUUGCUCAAUGUCUGGCCUUGAUGCUUUGUAAGUAACUGCUGUGUGUAUUCCUACAAUCUCUGAUGCGGUAUUGCAGUUGCUGGAUCAUUGAAAGUCAGGGGGAGAGCUGAGCUGCUAGCCUAAAAUCACAAUGAUAACACUAACAGCCUAGGUAAUUGAGGUUAUUAUGGAUGCAUUAGACAUACAGACAAACAUACACAAUUAUACACAGUGCAAAGAUAAGCGUAUUCACAGCAGCCAGAGUCUUCUAGCUCCGUCAGGAGAGACGAGAGUUCCCACACCUCAAACACACACACACACACACACACACACACACCCUCAGCAGCAGUGGCUUAGCACCAGGAUUCUCCAACCUGGUGCCCUCCAUAGGCCUUGGACUGCAGAUAUUCAUAUUGCACAGUUUGAAACAAGUAGGUGCUAAAAAUAGAGUCCUUAUGGAGUAAAAAAACAUUGUCCAGACCCAUGAAAAUAUUAUGCAAAGUGUACAUGCAGAAUUUUCUUUAAAAUAUAACCAAAAGGUAAAUGAUACAUUCAAACAAUUCCAUAUCUUGUGCAUAUCCAUCACAGGCUCAGCAUCCUCUUAGAAAUAAAAUAAAUGUACAAUCAGAGCUGACAAACACAACUCUCUCUCUCUCUCUCUCUCACACACACACACACAGGCUUCAUUGCCUGCAUUCCAUUUCCCUAGAGCUGUUUUCUCUCCCUUUGGGAGAGUCUUUUACGUGUCUGUACUCCAUAGUGUCUGAAAGAACAAGACUCCUUUCCAAGAUGACUAAUUUGCAAUUCAAUACCUUAAUCACGGGACGCGGGUGGCGCUGUGGGUUAAACCACAGAGCCUAGGACUUGCUGAUCGGAAGGUCGGCGGUUCGAAUCCCCGCAAAUGGAGCUCCCAUUGCUCGGUCCCUGCUCCUGCCAACCUAGCAGUUUGAAAGUGCAAGUAGAUAAAUAGGUACCGCUCCGGCGGGAAGGGAAACAGCAUUUCCGUGCACUGCUCUGGUUUGCCAGAAGCGGCUUAGUCAUGCUGGCCACAUGACCCGGAAGCUGUACACCGGCUCCCUCGAGAUGAGCGCCACAACCCCAGAGUCAGUCACAACUGGACCUGAUGGUCAGGGGUCCCUUUACCUUAAUCACCUGAUCUAAGGUUAAACACUCACGUGUUAGGUAGCAGAAAACAACAAUAGUUAAUUAUCAACUACUUAAAGCACAGAGAGAGUUCUUCUUGCUUUUCUAAAGCUUCAGUGGAAUCUCCCCAUGUAAAAACCUUUUCACCAAUACACAGGAAUUUCCAUUUCAGUGUGAAUUAAACCAAUUAUACAGAACACAGCUCCCAUCAGCCACUAUUUACUAUUACAUUUAUAUGCCACUUUUUCUCUAAGGACCUCAAAGUGGUGUACAUGGUUCUGCUCCUGCUCUCCAUUUUAUCCUCAAAGCAACCCUAUGAGGUAGGUUAGGUUGAGCUACCCCCUGUCUAUGUUAGGAUUCUAACCUAACAAGUUCUGAUAUGAAAACAGGAGAUCUAUAUUAUUGUGGGGAAUUCACACUUCAACUAAACAGUUCUACUGACUUAAUGAAUUCUCUGGUACAAAUCUGGGGUUCCCUUAUUACUAGGGAAUGAAUACUGUGAGUUUAACAUAAAUUACUCUACUGGCAAGGAUAUAGUAAAAGGCGCCCAUCAUUAUAGAGAAAAAUGUUUUAAAACAGAAUCAACAUGCAGACAAAUUUCCAUUGCUAGCUGUCAACACAUUGGAUGAAACAGAGCUUCUGAGAAGGCUCCAUUUUCAGUGGAAGAUAACUUUUAGUCAAAAACAUAUUUAUUUGCAGUGGAAAAUAAGUUUUAGUCAAACCAUUCAGGGUUUGGUUCCCAUUCAAGCCAAUAAAGGUUCUGUAACCCAUUAAAAAAAUGCUGGUAUGAAAAACAACCAAAGCUGGGGUAGCUCAGUCAAUAGAGCACGAGACUAUUAAUCUCAUGGUUGUGGGUUUGAGCACCACGCUGGGAAAAUAUUCCUGCAUUGCAAGGUGUUGGACUAGAUGACCCUCGUAGACCCUUCCAGCUCCACAAUCCUACAAUUCUAGGAACCAGUUGCUUCAGUUCUAGUUUCGAUGAGACAAUUUAAAUAUAAGGUACAAUGAAAACAUUGUUUGUAUAAUAAGGCACAGCAAACUAAAAUGCCUAAAAUUAUUAAAACUAAAGCCUUCUCCAGGCAUAUCCCCUUGUUACAGUUCUCAUCUCCCUCCAUGAUAUUUUGAGAUCUCAGGAACUGCAGAGAUUCUGUUCCCGUGAGACAUAAGUUUGCAAGAGGGCAGGAUUCCUCCAUUCAAGUAAGCUUGCUAGGUGUAAUCAGUGGUGGCUAACACCUGUUGAGAUUGGCAAGGAAGUAGGUAGGGAGCGCGGUAAGCCAGAGUCAACAAGAUGCAGAGCAAACUAAUUCUAUUUUUGUUCUCCUCCUUCUCCCUGCUGAAUCUACAAAGGGCACACUGAGACUAAGCUGGAGGAAGUUGAGAGGCAGUGCCGCUCUCUUCAGCCAUUGUAAGAAUGCAGGCUGGGGGAAGCUAGCUGAGGGCAGUCUGGCCUUGAUGGGGCAGUUCCCAAUUCACCCUAGUGGACCAACCUCCACUGGGUCUAAUUUGGGGUACCUACUACAGGCACCAGCCCCUAGCUUCUUCAAUGGGAUUUUUCCUGCCUCCCCACCCCAAAGUCCCUUGUUGUGUUACAGCACCUCCCAGGCUGAGAUUGGGUCUUACUAAUUUAAACACCUGCUAUAGUGUUUUGCCAAGUGGAGACAGUAGCCGUUAAUCCAAUGGCAUGAUAUGCAUCCAAUUACUUGCAGUAUCCAUCAGCAAAGCUUGCGGUCUUUGAGAUUUCUUUUCCAAUAAGUGUUGAGAAUUUAUUUCAGGACAAUACUUCGUAUAGCAAGUUCUGCAAUAAUAUUUUAAGACUGCAGUGGACACUCAGAAAAAGAAGCAGCAGUGGAGAAAUAUUAGCAUCAAACAAGAGCUGCUUUUAGUGAAAUUACAGUAUUAAACCAGAAUCCAGAUAUUCUCCAUCUUAAAAUCUUCAAGCCAUCACUGAAUGGAAACUCUCUCAUGUUCAGAUAAUACAAAGCUUCCUCUUCUAACAUGGGGCGUGAAGUAAGUCUCGCUUACUGAACUGUGGAAGAAGCAAGUAUUAACAUUUCCACCCAGAUUUCUGUAAUCUUUUUGGUUUGUCUUGUUACCUAGAAAAUCUCUUUGAUUAUCAUUUUAUGCUCUAGCUUAGCAGUUGUGCAAGGAACUAGUGGCGAGGAACACUUGUGUUAAUAUAAUUUCAAGGCCAGUGUUUUGGCCGAGAUGCAUUUCCUGCUGUAUUAUAUGCCUCAGAUCCAACUUUAGGUGGCAAGCCUCACUUUUACUAGGGAGUACUCUCCACUGAACACAAUGGACUUGUUGUUGUUGUUUAGUUGUUUCUGACUCUUCGUGACCCCAUGGACCAGAGCACGCCAGGCACUCCUGUCUUCCACUGCCUCCCGCAGUUUGGUCAAACUCAUGCUGGUAGCUUUGAGAACACUAUCAAACCAUCUCGUCCUCUGUCGUCCCCUUCUCCUUGUGCCCGAUUGGAGAAGACGGGUGAUGUCCAACCAAGGAGAGAAAGAAGCAAGUUGUCCUUUAAAAGCAAAGAUCCUUUAUUUGGUUGCAACCGGGUUCCCUACGCAAAGGUGACAAAAGGUGUGAGGAAACCCACCCAAAGUAAGUCCAGAAAUUAUACAGUCGCAAUUGCGGGUGGUCUUAUUUGUCACAGGUUCAUCAGUUUACAAGGUAAGGGGGAGGUACAUGGGAGCAGGGUGCAAAAGGGAGGUUCGGGGUGCAAAUCUUAUCUACAUGAGUAAAGUAAUAUCUAGAAAUCCAGGGACUGAUGGCAAAUGAUAUGGUAAUCCGUUUUUCUAGAAUAACAAUAGAGACGAGAGUUUUAUUUAACAGUUAAAUUCCUCUUCCCGCAGGGUCACAGGAAAUGGAUCUGGUCUUCUGGCACUUUACGGAAGAAGGAAGAGGAGCUGAGUGGAAGUGAUUAGGUUGAGGCUAAAAAUAACAUUCAUGGUUACAAUAAAGUGAUGC
This 17849-nucleotide long non-coding RNA is filed under the name Podarcis lilfordi (Lilford's wall lizard). Lineage: Eukaryota; Metazoa; Chordata; Lepidosauria; Squamata; Lacertidae. The record is from RNAcentral.